Molecule: ribosomal RNA, 467 nt
Filed under: uncultured bacterium
Lineage: Bacteria
Description: partial 16S ribosomal RNA
Rfam family: Bacterial small subunit ribosomal RNA
Source: RNAcentral
GACGAACGCUGGCGGCGUGCUUAACACAUGCAAGUCGAACGGAAAGGCCUCUUUCUGGUGGUACUCUAGUGGCGAACGGGUGAGUAACACGUGAGUAACCUGUCCUUUACUUUGUGAUAACUUCAGGAAACUGUGGCUCAUAUCGGAUAUGAGCUCCUGCUGCAUGUUGUGGGGUGGGAAGAUUCUGCGGGUUGGGGUGUGAUCUCGGCUUAUCUGCUUUUUGGGGGGGGAUGGGCUUACCCAGGCCUUGUCGGGUAUCCGGCCCGUGAGGGUGAACGGCCAAAUUGGGAAUGAGAUACGGGCCAGACUCCUACGGGGGGCAGCAGUGGGGAAUAUUGCCACAUGGGUGGGAGCCUGAUGCAGCAACGCCGGCGGCGGGAUGAAGGCCUUCGGGUUGGAAAACGCCUUCGCUCAUGACGAAGCUGUGUGUGACGGUAGUGGGUAAAGAAGCACCGGCUAACUACGUG